Fragaria vesca subsp. vesca is the source of this 1535-nucleotide RNA transcript. It is a transcript of the gene named isoflavone 2'-hydroxylase-like, with no coding region annotated. The record is from RefSeq and is a predicted model, not a curated record. Lineage: Eukaryota; Viridiplantae; Streptophyta; Magnoliopsida; Rosales; Rosaceae. The transcript is spliced from 3 exons.
AUGGCAGACCAAGCAACAAUGGAAGACAUUGCGUUGUUCACCUUUUUGUCUCUCAUCUUCAUCCUCUUCACCUCCAAAUUCCUCUUCUUCAAACGUCGACGUUACGCCAACCUCCCACCAAGCCCACCUUAGCUUCCAAUUAUCGGCCACCUCCACCUCCUCAAACCUCCAGUCCACCGCACCUUCCACCGCCUCUCCCAAACCUACGGCGCCAUCUUCUCUCUCUGGUUCGGCUCCCGCCGCGUUGUUAUAGUUUCCUCCCCGGUCGCUGUCCAAGAAUGUUUCACCAAAAACGACAUCGUCCUCGCCAACCGCCCUAAGGGGAUCCUCGGCAAGUACAUCGGUUACAACUGGUCCACCAUGGUCUCCGCCCCCUACGGUGACCACUGGAGCAACCUCCGCCGCAUCGGCGCCAUCGAAAUCUUCUCAUCUCAGCGCCUCAACAUGUUCUCCACUAUCCGCAAAGACGAGGUCAAACACUUGGUCCGCAGGCUAGCUAAGAACUCGAGUUCUGGAAACUUCUCCAAGGUGGAAAUGAAGUCCAUGUUCAACGAGCUCUCCUUUAACAUCAUAAUGACAAUGGUGGCGGGGAAGAGGUACUACGGCGACGACAUCGACGACUCGGACAAAGAGGAUGCCACGAAGUUCAGGGAGAACAUGACUGCGGUUUUCACGUACGGCAGCGCUUCGAAUCCGGCAGAUAUCUUCCCGGUUUUAAAAUGGGUUGGGAUUAAUGGGCAUGAGAAGAAGAUGGGAGUUGGGGAAGAGGAGUGAUGCGUUUCUUCAAGGUCUCACAUGAUGAGCAUAAAGGAGUUAAGAGAAACACCAUGAUUGAUCAUUUGUUUUCUCUGCAAGAAUCACAGCCCGAGUACUACACUGAUGAAAUCAUCAAAGGGCUUAUAAUUAAUGCGGCACUAGAAUGGAUUGUGUCCAAUCUUCUUAACCAUCCUCAUGUGUUGGAAAAGGCUAGAGUAGAACUGGACUCUCAUCUCGGUCUAGAUCGCUUGGUGGACGAGCCCGACGUCUCCAAGUUGCCUUACCUACAAAGCAUCAUUUCUGAAACCCUCCGACUUCAUCCGCCGCCGCUUCUGGUGCCGCAUUUUUCGUCCGAUGAUUGUACGAUUGGGGGAUUUGAUGUGCCUCGUGACACUAUGGUAAUGGUUAAUGCAUGGGCGAUACAUAGAGACCAUGAGUUGUGGGAUGAUCCAGAAAGCUUUAAGCCGGAGAGGUUCCAAAGUGGCGAGAAUGACUCUUACAAAUUCAUGCCGUUUGGACGAGGAAGAAGAGCUUGACCUGGAAUAGGUCUGGCUCAACGUGAAGUAGGGCUAACUUUAGGUACGUUGAUUCAAUGCUUUGAAUGGAAGAGAGUAGAUGAUGAAGACGUUGAUUGGAUUGAAGGCAAAGGAGUCACCAAUCCUAAAGCUGUGCCAUUGGAGGCUACGUGUAGAGCACGUCCAAUUGUGAAAAAAAAAAUCUUACUUAGCUAUAGCUAUAGGCAAAGCUUUAAAGUCCAGUACGCUGUUGAACUAGUUUAG